Molecule: ribosomal RNA, 253 nt
Filed under: uncultured bacterium
Lineage: Bacteria
Description: partial 16S ribosomal RNA
Rfam family: Bacterial small subunit ribosomal RNA
Source: RNAcentral
GACGAACCGAGCAAACGUUAUUCGGAAUCACUGGGCUUAAAGGGCGCGUAGGCGGGCAUCCAAGUCCGUGGUGAAAUCCGGCAGCUCAACUGUCGAACUGCCGCGGAUACUGGGUGUCUCGAGGGAGGUAGGGGCGUGCGGAACUAUUGGUGGAGCGGUGAAAUGCGUUGAUAUCAAUAGGAACUCCGGUGGCGAAGGCGGCACGCUGGACCUCUUCUGACGCUGAGGCGCGAAAGCCAGGGGAGCGAACGGG